Molecule: ribosomal RNA, 253 nt
Filed under: uncultured bacterium
Lineage: Bacteria
Description: partial 16S ribosomal RNA
Rfam family: Bacterial small subunit ribosomal RNA
Source: RNAcentral
UACGAAGGGUGCUAGCGUUGUUCGGAAUUACUGGGCGUAAAGCGUGCGUAGGCGGCUUAUCAAGUCAGGGGUGAAAUCCCACAGCUUAACUGCGGAACUGCCUUUGAAACUGAUAAGCUAGAGUCUUGGAGGGGAUAGCGGAAUUGCUAAUGUAGAGGUGAAAUUCGUAGAUAUUAGCAGGAACACCGGUGGCGAAGGCGGCUAUCUGGACAAGUACUAACGCUCUGGCACGAAAGCGCGGGGAUCAAACAGG